CCAUUUAUAGAGGAGGGACGGGCGAUAUGUGCACAUAAAAUUUCAUUUUCAAAUUCUAAUUCUCUUUCAAAUUUUAAUUUUAAGUCCUGUUACCUAAUAAAUUAAUUUCUUUUUCCAUUUUACAUUUAUUGUGUCCCAUUAUUACCUAAAACAUUCUCUUUACCUUGAUUUGUCUUAUUAUUCCUUUUCAUUUUUAGAACGAUUUUACAUUUUUAUUCUUAUUCUUUAGACAAUGAUAUAAAAAAUUAUUUCUUUUAGUUAAUUUGAUUGUGGGUUAUCUAUUAUAUUACAGGACCCCCUAAUUCGCUUUUACACCGCCAUAUUGAAGCAUUUUCCCUUUAUUUAGGUACUGUUUUUAUUUUAUUAAAA
Molecule: ribosomal RNA, 369 nt
Filed under: Rhyncaphytoptus mori
Lineage: Eukaryota; Metazoa; Arthropoda; Arachnida; Trombidiformes; Diptilomiopidae
Description: partial small subunit ribosomal RNA
Source: RNAcentral